Molecule: long non-coding RNA, 1127 nt
Organism: Herpailurus yagouaroundi (jaguarundi)
Lineage: Eukaryota; Metazoa; Chordata; Mammalia; Carnivora; Felidae
Exons: 3
Source: RefSeq, a predicted model, not a curated record
ACGACGGCCUCCUCUGGCCUCGUCUAGGGCGGGGGAUGGGAACCCCCCCCCCCACCCCGGGCCCAGCCCUCGACGCCCUGCUCGCGCUCCUCUUAUCGCCCGCCGGCCCAGUGCCUCCGGGACCCUCCGGGGCCGGACGCAGAGCCGACGAGUCCCGCAGUGCCCAGGUGAGACCCAGAAGCGUGGGGACAGGCCAGGGCCCCACCCCCAUGGCCCCACCGAACAGAGAGGAAGAGGAAGUACAGCGUGGGCCUGUGUGGGGGCGCCGGCCCAGACAGCCUCCUGUGCAGCCAGAUGGCCGGCCAUCUGCGGUCCCCUCCUCCUCGCGGCGUGGCCAGACCGGGUGCCGGGGCGAGCCUCCUCAAAGCUGGCAGAGCGUGUUAGGGCCAUGUGCUGCCUGGCAGGCUGGGGGCUGCGCCCCGGGGAGAGGCGACCGGACGCACGGACAGCCGGGCAGAGGCAGGCCCGCCGGGCCCAGCUGCUGCGGCCCCUUCUGCGGCCCCGCCUCUCGCCUCAUAAGAUGGGGCGAUCGGGGAAGGCUUCUCAGAGGAAGGGGCACGGAGAGAGACCCAGUUGGAGUAAAGAGCCAGCACUGAGGCUCCCAGGGGAAGGGACCGGCCCGAAAAGACCCGAGGUGGACAGGCUUGGUGUGUCCAACACCCCGGGGAGUCCAGGCCCCUGGGCUGGCACAGCCUUGAUAAUGAUGAAGGUUUAUAUUUUCCAUAAGAAGUCCUGCGGUGGAGGAACUUCUGAGCAGGCUGGUUCGGCAGCUCAGUGGUGGCGUCCGGACCAGGGUCUCUCCCUGUAUGUCCUCUGCCACCCUCAGUACGGAUCACUCCCCUCACGGCCCCAAAAUGGCUGCAGCAGAUCCAGUCAUCACAUCCCACCAGGACAAACUGCAGCCCAAGAUGAGCCAGCCAUAUCUUCCUCGUGUUUCUCUCUUUUUCAAGAGCAAACCAAGAUUCCCCAUAACCCCCCACUGGAACCCCUUUCACACCUCACUGGUUUCAGUUGGGUCACACGCGAGGGGCACAGGACAGCCAUUGACUGGCUCAGACCAAGGGUCAGCAAAUCUGGCCCCAAGUCCGCCUGUGUAAAUAAAGAUUUAUUGGUACGCAGCCACACCA